CUAGCCCGGAGCAUAUACGACUGGCAGAGGAGGGUGAGCAGCGAAAAGAACCUUUGGAUUCCAAGACCACAGCGAAAAGAAAAGAGCUGAUUUGGCACGACGUUACCGAGCAACUGGACAUAACAAGGGACCGAGCAAAACAGCAGCGGAAAGGCACAAAAGACAAUUUCGCAGCGUCCGUGCCAAGCCGCGCUCCCUGCCUAGCGGACCGGCUGCAGUAGCCCUGGCGCCGCUUCAAGAGCAGCAGAAGCUGUACCUCUGUACCUUGGGCGCGGGCUCGGAUGCCAAGGCUACCUGCCCGAGUCUCCGGGGGUCGCACUCUGAGUUGACGCAUCUUGACGCCGCAGAAGGUGCCGGAGGGGAAACAGCGUACACUCCAACACCUGAGCGCAGCGGCACGGAAACGCCCAGUGCUGUGGCACCAACAGGGGUGUCUUCGACGCUGGAUCAGCUGAACGCAAGGGAAGAAAUAGCAAAGAAAAGUAAACACGCGGGUUUUUUCACUGAACUAGACCAGAUGCUGGAACGCAUGGGAGAGCGCAAAGCGUGUGAGUUCAAAGCUAGAGUGUACGCGGAGGCCGUGAAGACUGCUUUCAAUUUGUAGCUUCUAGCUGAGUGGGCCAUACCGAAAGCUACAUGUUUUGUCGUGCACUGUUUCAAUUCUGUUCAGCCUGGAAAGUUGACCCAUGAUGUAUUGUGCUUUGUGAAGUUCAUAUACCUACCUAAGUUUAUAGCUUGCGGGAAUACGCGAGAUUGUACAUUGUAUUGUAUUUUAUUAUAUAUUUUCAUCAACCUC
RNAcentral lists this long non-coding RNA (796 nucleotides) under Amphibalanus amphitrite. RNAcentral describes it as "uncharacterized LOC122371416". Lineage: Eukaryota; Metazoa; Arthropoda; Thecostraca; Balanomorpha; Balanidae. The record is from RNAcentral.